RNAcentral lists this ribosomal RNA (460 nucleotides) under Theileria velifera. RNAcentral describes it as "SSU rRNA". It matches the Rfam family "Eukaryotic small subunit ribosomal RNA", at positions 486 to 984 of the family's 1831-position model. Lineage: Eukaryota; Apicomplexa; Aconoidasida; Piroplasmida; Theileriidae. RNAcentral also lists the same sequence under 1 other name. The record is from RNAcentral.
CGGGGCUUAAUGUCUUGUAAUUGGAAUGAUGGGAAUUUAAACCUCUUCCAGAGUAUCAAUUGGAGGGCAAGUCUGGUGCCAGCAGCCGCGGUAAUUCCAGCUCCAAUAGCGUAUAUUAAAAUUGUUGCAGUUAAAAAGCUCGUAGUUGAAUUUCUGCUACAUUACCCUUUCUCCUUUACGAGUUUGGGUCUUUUGUGGCUUAUCUGGGUUCGCUUGCGUUCCCGGUGUUUUACUUUGAGAAAAUUAGAGUGCUCAAAGCAGGCUUUUGCCUUGAAUAGUUUAGCAUGGAAUAAUAAAGUAGGACUUUGGUUCUAUUUUGUUGGUUUUAGGUACCAAAGUAAUGGUUAAUAGGAACAGUUGGGGGCAUUCGUAUUUAACUGUCAGAGGUGAAAUUCUUAGAUUUGUUAAAGACGAACUACUGCGAAAGCAUUUGCCAAGGAUGUUUUCAUUAAUCAAGAAC